Molecule: ribosomal RNA, 405 nt
Filed under: uncultured bacterium
Lineage: Bacteria
Description: partial 16S ribosomal RNA
Rfam family: Bacterial small subunit ribosomal RNA
Source: RNAcentral
AUAUUGGACAAUGGGGGCAACUCUGACGCAGCGACGCCGCGUGAGCGAUGAAGGUCUUCGGAUCGGAAAGCUCUGUCCUUGGGGAAGAAGGUCUUCGGACUUGACGGUACCUAAGGAGGAAGCACCGGCUAACUACGUGCGAGAAGCCGCGGUAAUACGUAGGGGGCAAGCGUUGUCCGGAAUUAUUCGGCGUAAAGGGUGCGUACGCGGCAUGUUAAGUCAGAUGUGAAAGCCCACGGCUUAACCGUGGGACUGCAUUUGAAACUGGAGGGCUUGAGUAUCGGAGAGGGUAGUGGAAUUCCCAGUGUAGCGGUGGAAUGCGUAGAUAUUGGGAGGAACACCAGUGGCGAAGGCGACUACCUGGACGAAAACUGACGAUGAGGCACGAAAGCUAGGGGAGCAAAC